Molecule: ribosomal RNA, 469 nt
Filed under: uncultured bacterium
Lineage: Bacteria
Description: SSU rRNA
Rfam family: Bacterial small subunit ribosomal RNA
Source: RNAcentral
AGGACGAACGCUGGCGGCGUGCUUAACACAUGCAAGUCGAGCGGAAAGGCCCUUCGGGGUACUCGAGCGGCGAACGGGUGAGUAACACGUGAGCAACCUGCCCUUAGCUUCGGGAUAGCUCCGGGAAACCGGAAUUAAUACCGAAUAUGACUUUGGCUGACAUCAGCAGAAAGUGGAAAGUUUUUCGGCUAGGGAUGGACUCGCGGCCUAUCAGCUAGUUGGUGGGGUAACGGCCUACCAAGGCGACGAUGGGUAGCUGGCUUGAGAGAGCGACCAGCCACACUGGGACUGAGACACGGCCCAGACUCCUACGGGAGGCAGCAGUGAGGAAUUUUCCGCAAUGGGCGAAAGCCUGACGGAGCGACGCCGCGUGUGGGAAGAAGGCCCUAGGGUCGUAAACCACUGUCGAAGGGAAGAUAUUGACGGUACCCUUGGAGGAAGCCCCGGCUAACUACGCGCCAGCAGCCGC